AACGAACGCUGGCGGCGCGCCUAACACAUGCAAGUCGAACGAGAAGGCGUAGCAAUACGCUUGUAGAGUGGCGAACGGGUGAGUAAUACGUGGGUGACCUACCCUCGAGUGGGGAAUAACCCGCCGAAAGGCGGGCUAAUGCCGCGUACGCUUCCGUCCUCACGGGGACGGAAGGAAAGCUGUACCGUGGGUACGGCGCUCAAGGAUGGGCUCGCGUCCUAUCAGCUUGUUGGUA
This 235-nucleotide ribosomal RNA is filed under the name uncultured bacterium. Its description in RNAcentral is "partial 16S ribosomal RNA". It matches the Rfam family "Bacterial small subunit ribosomal RNA", at positions 29 to 254 of the family's 1533-position model. The record is from RNAcentral.